UUGGGCUAUGAUUAAAUCAGUCAAGUUUGUUAGCUCCAUGUGGCCCAAUUAGCUUCACUUCCAACACGAGGCAUCACUUGGAUCUUUGUCUGAGAGUCAACAUUGAAGUUAGCCCCACACAUAAAUCCCUCGCUGUCAAUCCUAGGCAUUGCUUUCAUCUUCUUUGUUGGAUGUUCAAUGCUCAUGAGACCAUGCUCACUAUGAAACAUACACCCUGCAAUUCAACGCCAGUAAAGCUUUAAAUUCCAGACACAAGUUACCCUUUCAAAUGUAUUUACGUUUUUUAUUAGUCCACAUUUAAUUUUGCCAUUAUCUUAUAAUUGUCGAUCUGAUAUAUAAAAAUUAGUAAUUUGAAUGGUGGUUUAGAAUAUUCAAAGCUGCAAAUUUACAUACCAUUCGGAAAUGGUGCAAAUGAUUUAGCACAGCUUGCUUUUAUAAGCUCCAGAUUUUCAGAAAUAACUAUGGAACCAUCAGCUGCAACACCCCAGUAGAGCCCAAUCUGGCCAUUAGAACCCUGCUCAAACAAACAAAUUAAUAUUCAAUCCUAGAAAAAUUAAUAACACCAUGUAUACAUGGCCAAACCACACAUUUCUUUUGUAUAGAUCAAGAAAGAGACUUACAGAUGCAACAAAAACUGUUCCAUCCUUGUUGUCAUAGAUCACAAAUCCAAAACUGCCUUCAAGUUCUUUGAGGACUUGAUCAGCGGGGUAUGGACCCCUGUCACGAAGAGUUCGAUAUGCUUCAGUGAUAAACAUGGCCUCAUUUGUUCCCUUUGAUAGCCCAUACUGCUUGUUGAGCAUGCUAAGGUUGUGCAGGCCACCCAGGAAGACACAGUAUAUGUUAUCCAAACCACUAAACAACCUGUGACACAUUUUUCUUUUGUAUUAAUAAUUCAUAAAUCCGUUUCACAAACAAUAGAUUCAUUAACCUAUCAGCCAUGAAAUUUGAAAAGGGAAUAUACUGAUUACAACAAUAGAUUAAUUCAAUGCCAUUCAUAUCUCAAAGGCAAUUAAAUUAAGCAUACCUUUGAUGAAUGGAGGGCUUGUUUGAAGGGGAAUAGGCUAGCAAAGCUUCAUUCCCAAAGCACAUUGAGAAAGCAUUGGAGGAAUUGCAGGACAUGAAAUCCUGAAGGAUUUCGUGACUUAGCUUAGGCUUAGUGCAUGAAUUCAACGAAGCUGGACUGUUCAGCUCUUUGGGUGCUUUAACCAACUUCUCCUUGAAAAUUCCCAACAUUUUUGCCUCUAUCUAGGAAUU
RNAcentral lists this long non-coding RNA (1254 nucleotides) under Glycine max (soybean). RNAcentral describes it as "long non-coding RNA (GMAX_LNC003352)". The record is from RNAcentral. Lineage: Eukaryota; Viridiplantae; Streptophyta; Magnoliopsida; Fabales; Fabaceae.